RNAcentral lists this long non-coding RNA (1115 nucleotides) under Athene cunicularia (burrowing owl). RNAcentral describes it as "lncRNA (ENSACUG00000000824.1)". The record is from RNAcentral. Lineage: Eukaryota; Metazoa; Chordata; Aves; Strigiformes; Strigidae.
UUUCUGUGUUAAUACUUCUCUAUAUAGCAUGAAUAUUUUUAGACAAGUUUCCUGAAAAACAAAACCAAAACAUCUUUAAAUUAUUAAUUGGAAAAUUAAAAGCUCUUGCAUUAAAAUUAUCCUCAAAUGAAAGAAAAUUCUCAAGACUCAUUCUGCUUUCAACUACUGCGGCUGUUGAAAACAUCGUGUAAAGUACUGGUAUGGCAUUGGCUGUGCUGCCAAAGUGCUUCAACUUUAAAAUGCAAGCAUGUAUUUUAUCUCACAUACAAGCAAUUUUCUUUGUACUGAAAAUCAGUACACCAACCAGAACUUCCCAAGUUCCUCCAUACGCUGUAAAACAAUCUUGCCACCUCACAACCCCAUACAGCUUUCACCCAUGCUGUGUAGCUACCUGCUUUAGCAGAUUCCAGUUAUCUUCAAACCACCGUUGUGUAUUCAAUGAUUUUUCAGAGGCUCGCCUCCUUUUUUCACCCUGCUCAAAAAGAUGUGAAAUAAACCAGUAUUUGUGUGACUUUACUACAUGGGGCUUUUCAUCACAGGGGCCCACCUGUUUCUCCCUCAGAGCAGCAGGGGAGCCAUGGGCCCGCACCACACCACCCCCACAGCAGGUUUUGGAGGGAAGCCACUGGAGAUGUCAGAGGGGCACCGCGGUGUCCUAUCCCUGUUCCUUACUCUCCACCCAAACACCCUUCAUCCCUCUCCCUCUGCCCUGCGAUGGCCUCAUUCCCACUCUCACCACCCGCCGCCACGCAGCGCCCACCACGGCCGCCGCCGCCUCACACGGAGGGGACCCACCAGCGGCAGGGAGUCCAACACCCUCCGGCAGGCAGCAGGAACACCGCUCCGUCCCAACGUCCCCACCCCAACUCGCAGCCCUCGGGCUCCCCCACGCCUCUCCCGGCCGCGCAGGCAGGCCCGCCCGAGCGGAGGCCGUGCCGCCUCAGCAGCUCCCUGCCCGCGGAAAGGCGGGAAAGGCGGGAGGACCCUACAAAAGGGAGGGGGCGCAUGCGCAGGAACACGCGCCCCGGGGCCCGCCGUGCAGGUUCCGCACUGAGCUCCUUUGAACCUCACCUCCCGUUAGCUAUUUGAGUCUUUUUUUAGAAACGGCUUUCUCA